Non-coding RNA from Benincasa hispida (wax gourd), 437 nucleotides. Lineage: Eukaryota; Viridiplantae; Streptophyta; Magnoliopsida; Cucurbitales; Cucurbitaceae. The record is from RefSeq and is a predicted model, not a curated record.
ACCCACUCUCAUUCAAUCUCAGAUUUAAUGGCUUCAAAUAUGUAGGAUUAAGCGUUUUCCGAUACCAACCAGCAAGAUUCGAGUCGUUUUGGGUUCAUAGUAGUUUCCAAACUAUUUGGUCACUUUCCAGCGACGAUCCAAGUCGAUAUUGGGGAGUUUUAGGCGUCACAGCUCUAUUUUAAAGAACUGAUUCAAUUCUCAUUCUAUUAUUAUGAACAAAGGCAUUGGUGGUGGAAUUGGCCCCACCGCGGCAGCUGCAGCGGCGGCAGCUCAGAAACAGAAACUGCUUCUCCAAAGAGUGGAAACCGAUAUAGCCAACAUUGUUGACAAUUUCACUCACCUUGUCAAUGUCUCUAGGGUGAAUGAUCCACCUGUUAGAAAUUCACAGGAAUCUUUCAUGAUGGAAAUGCGUGCGGCCAGAAUGGUAAGAUAAUAAA